Molecule: ribosomal RNA, 468 nt
Filed under: uncultured bacterium
Lineage: Bacteria
Description: partial 16S ribosomal RNA
Rfam family: Bacterial small subunit ribosomal RNA
Source: RNAcentral
GACGAACGCUGGCGGCGUGCUUAAUACAUGCAAGUCGAACGGAAAGGCCCUGCUUUUGUGGGGUGCUCGAGUGGCGAACGGGUGAGUAACACGUGAGUAACCUGCCCUUGACUUUGGGAUAACUUCAGGAAACUGGGGCUAAUACCGGAUAGGAGCUCCUGCUGCAUGGUGGGGGUUGGAAAGUUUCGGCGGUUGGGGAUGGACUCGCGGCUUACCAGCUUGUUGGUGGGGUAGUGGCUUACCAAGGCUUUGACGGGUAGCCGGCCUGAGAGGGUGACCGGCCACAUUGGGACUGAGAUACGGCCCAGACGCCUACGGGAGGCAGCAGUGGGGAAUAUUGCACAAUGGGCGGAAGACUGAUGCAGCAGCGCCGCGUGCGGGAUGACGGCCUUCGGGUUGUAAACCGCUUUCGCCUGUGACGAAGCGUGAGUGACGGUAAUGGGUAAAGAAGCACCGGCUAACUACGUG